This is a long non-coding RNA of Lolium rigidum, 1137 nucleotides long. RefSeq lists it as uncharacterized. Lineage: Eukaryota; Viridiplantae; Streptophyta; Magnoliopsida; Poales; Poaceae. The transcript is spliced from 2 exons. The record is from RefSeq and is a predicted model, not a curated record.
UCACAGCGAAGACAGGAAGAAGACAACCACCCGGCCUCAAUGCCUGAGAGAUGUUAACACCGAUAUGUCAAUUCACAGAGCGAUCUGGGAGGGUGUCAAUGCAAGCUAUCCAUAUGUCUUCGGUGGUUGAAGAUACUUGAGUUUAGUAGUGGGACCCCGAAGGAAAUUAUUCCUCCAAUUCGAUCUACAAUGCUCACUCUGUGACGCAACUACAUGUGACACAGCAAAGGUGAUCUGGGGUUCUUGGGCACCAUUACGAUGCAAGCUUGCAACCUGGCUAUUCGUUGGAGGCAGAGUUUGGACAGCAGGCAUGCCUACAAAACGUGGACUGCCACAUAACAAGAGUUGUCUGUUUUGCGGUUCAGCGCAACAAGAUUCUCAAUAUUUAAUGGUUGUGUUGUGGUAAACAUAAUCUGGAUCAAUGGCCUUGGGUGGUCUAAACUUAGACAGGUCAUGCCAACCAUGAAUCUGAACCUGCGCCUGUGGUGGACACAAGCUAGAGACACAUUGCAAGAUUCAGAAAAGAAGAUAUUUAAUUCGCUGGUAAUGCUAACCGCAUGGAGAAAUUGCUCCCGUGUGCGAGAGGGGAAACGGGCCGGCUUGCAGCUCCCGUUCCGCGUUGACAGCCACGGCUGGAGUGGCAUAAGGCAACAGCUCUGCGUUCUCACAGGUACAUGGAAGAUAUCGCAUGCGCAAGAAAAAGAAUGAAUUGAAGGAAAGGAGAGCACACUAAUUCACCUUUACACCUAGCUGACCCUUGCUAGCGGGCAUAGCAAAACUUAGCGGUGACCAACAGGUGAUAAACAAGCAAGGGAGGGAGAGGAGAAGCUGGUGGGGUACUCACAAAGAGGAUUCUGACAUGUUUUUCUGACCAUGUUGAUCACUAGCUGGUAUUCUAAAAAAAUUAAAUUCGUGAAUUUAUCUGGAAAUAACUACAAACAUUUAGUCUUGUAAUAACAUCCAACACAAUGAUGAUGAUGUAAUCAUCCAAGACAACGAUGAUUUAAUCAUUCAACACAAAUUGGGGCGAUAAGGAAUUGGUUGAUCAAGUUUGUACUGUGAGUUAUCUAUGGUGUUCAAUUUUUUUUUUAUCAUUUAACAUCAAAGUUCGUAGUAACAAUGAUUAUUGCUCCUGGA